Molecule: transfer RNA, 89 nt
Filed under: Candidatus Bathyarchaeota archaeon
Lineage: Archaea; Thermoproteati; Candidatus Bathyarchaeota
Also listed under: 1 other name
Description: tRNA-Ser
Rfam family: tRNA
About the family: Transfer RNA (tRNA) molecules are approximately 80 nucleotides in length.
Source: RNAcentral
GCCGGGGUAGCCAAGCCAGGAUAAGGCGCCAGUCUUGAAAACUGGUGCUCCACGCGAGCUCAUGGGUUCAAAUCCCAUCCCCGGCGCCA